GAGGUUGUAGGGAAAUGGUACACCCGCUAUGGAGGGGCCCCGAAGUAGAAUUGCAGGUUCGAAUCCUGCCAACCUCA
This 77-nucleotide transfer RNA is filed under the name Treponema sp. RNAcentral describes it as "tRNA-OTHER". It matches the Rfam family "tRNA". From Rfam's summary of the family: Transfer RNA (tRNA) molecules are approximately 80 nucleotides in length. Their secondary structure includes four short double-helical elements and three loops (D, anti-codon, and T loops). The record is from RNAcentral. Lineage: Bacteria; Pseudomonadati; Spirochaetota; Spirochaetia; Treponematales; Treponemataceae.